Molecule: ribosomal RNA, 253 nt
Filed under: uncultured bacterium
Lineage: Bacteria
Description: partial 16S ribosomal RNA
Rfam family: Bacterial small subunit ribosomal RNA
Source: RNAcentral
UACGGGGGGGGCAAGCGUUGUUCGGAAUUACUGGGCGUAAAGGGUUCGUAGGUGGCCAACUAAGUCAGACGUGAAAUCCCUCAGCUUAACUGGGGAACUGCGUCUGAUACUGGUUGGCUUGAGUGCAGGAGAGGAACGCGGAAUUCCAGGUGUAGCGGUGAAAUGCGCAGAUAUCAGGAGGAACACCAAUGGCGAAGGCAGCUCGCUGGGACGGUACUGACGCUGAGACGCGAAAGCGUGGGGAGCAAACAGG